CCUACGGGGGGCAGCAGUGGGGAAUAUUGGACAAUGGGCGAAAGCCUGAUCCAGCCAUGCCGCGUGUGUGAAGAAGGCCUUCGGGUUGUAAAGCACUUUCAGUGGGGAAGAAAGCCUUGGGGCUAAUACCCUCGAGGAAGGACAUCACCCACAGAAGAAGCACCGGCUAACUCCGUGCCAGCAGCCGCGGUAAUACGGAGGGUGCGAGCGUUAAUCGGAAUUACUGGGCGUAAAGCGCGCGUAGGCGGUCUGAUAAGCCGGUUGUGAAAGCCCCGGGCUCAACCUGGGAACGGCAUCCGGAACGGUCAGGCUAGAGUGCAGGAGAGGAAGGUAGAAUUCCCGGUGUAGCGGUGAAAUGCGUAGAGAUCGGGAGGAAUACCAGUGGCGAAGGCGGCCUUCUGGACUGACACUGACGCUGAGGUGCGAAAGCGUGGGUAGCAAACAGGACUAGAUACCCCAGUAGUC
This 465-nucleotide ribosomal RNA is filed under the name Vreelandella stevensii. RNAcentral's name for it is "partial 16S ribosomal RNA". It matches the Rfam family "Bacterial small subunit ribosomal RNA", at positions 338 to 795 of the family's 1533-position model. Lineage: Bacteria; Pseudomonadati; Pseudomonadota; Gammaproteobacteria; Oceanospirillales; Halomonadaceae. The record is from RNAcentral.